Molecule: ribosomal RNA, 542 nt
Filed under: uncultured bacterium
Lineage: Bacteria
Description: bacterial SSU rRNA
Rfam family: Bacterial small subunit ribosomal RNA
Source: RNAcentral
GGGGAAUAUUGCACAAUGGGCGAAAGCCUGAUGCAGCGACGCCGCGUGAGGGAUGGAGGCCUUCGGGUUGUAAACCUCUUUCGCUCAUGGUCAAGCCGCAACUGUGGGUUGUGGUGAGGGUAGUGGGUAAAGAAGCGCCGGCUGACUACGUGCCAGCAGCCGCGGUAAUACGUAGGGCGCGAGCGUUGUCCGGAAUUAUUGGGCGUAAAGGGCUUGUAGGCGGUUGGUCGCGUCUGCCGUGAAAUUCUCUGGCUUAACUGGGGGCGUGCGGUGGGUACGGGCUGACUUGAAUGCGGUAGGGGAGACUGGAACUCCUGGUGUAGCGGUGGAAUGCGCAGAUAUCAGGAAGAACACCGGUGGCGAAGGCGGGUCUCUGGGCCGUUACUGACGCUGAGGAGCGAAAGCGUGGGGAGCGAACAGGAUUAGAUACCCUGGUAGUCCACGCUGUAAACGUUGGGCACUAGGUGUGGGGGCCACCCGUGGUUUCUGCGCCGUAGCUAACGCUUUAAGUGCCCCGCCUGGGGAGUACGGCCGCAAGGCUA